RNAcentral lists this long non-coding RNA (520 nucleotides) under Pan troglodytes (chimpanzee). RNAcentral's name for it is "long non-coding RNA NONPTRT013832". Lineage: Eukaryota; Metazoa; Chordata; Mammalia; Primates; Hominidae. The record is from RNAcentral.
UUAUUGAGAAAGAUAAUAUUAUAUGAAACUGGGACUAAGAAUAUGGUCGCCUAGGCAGUUGGGUGUGGUAGCUCAUGCCUGUAAUCCCAGCACUUUGGAAGGCCAAGGCAGACAGAUCACUGUGGCCAAGGAGUUCAAGAUCAGCCUGGGCAGCAUAUUGAGACCCUGUCUCUAUCAUAAAUACAUAUAUAUAAAUAAAAGAAUAUGAUCACCUAACAUGAGACCACUGCAACUUUUAAGUAGUAUAUAAACUCUAAGAUGGUUUAUUUUACUGGAUGGGGGCAAUGGCUUUACCAUGAGUUAACAUUUUUUUUAACAGAGGAAGACCCUCAUGAAUGGCUUGGUGCCCUUCCCAUGAGAUCUGGUUGUUUAAAAGAAUACAGCACUUCCUCCCCUUUUUUUCUCUUGCUAUGUGAUGCAAUGGCUUCCCCUUUGCCUUCUGCCAUGAUUGUAAGCUCCCUGAGGCCCUCAACAGGAACAGAGGCCAGUGCCAUGCUUCCUGUACAGCCUGUAGAACCAU